UCAGCGCGUUGCGGUUCUGCCGCCUCGCGUCCGCCGGGGGCACCCAAACUCGAAUUUAUAUCGUGUAUCUCUGAGGGGCGAAAGCCCGUAAAACAAAUGAAUCAAAACUUUCAACAACGGAUCUCUUGGCUCUGGCAUCGAUGAAGAACGCAGCGAAAUGCGAUAAGUAAUGUGAAUUGCAGAAUUCAGUGAAUCAUCGAAUCUUUGAACGCACAUUGCGCCCGCCGGCACUCCGGCGGGCAUGCCUGUCCGAGCGUCAUUUCAACCCUCGGGCCCACCCCUCGCGGGGAACGGGCCCGGCGUUGGGGACCGGAGGCCGCCCCGGCGACACCCGCCCCCUAAAUUCAGUGGCGGUCGCGCCGCAGCCUCCCCUGCGUAGUAGCACACCUCGCACCGGAGAGCGGCACGGCCACGCCUCGAAACCCCCCAAUUUUUCAGGUUGACCUCGGA
Molecule: ribosomal RNA, 450 nt
Filed under: uncultured Acremonium
Lineage: Eukaryota; Fungi; Ascomycota
Description: eukaryotic LSU rRNA
Rfam family: 5.8S ribosomal RNA (bases 106-259)
Source: RNAcentral